Long non-coding RNA from Homo sapiens (human), 2143 nucleotides. Ensembl annotates it as FTX transcript, XIST regulator. Its record names the gene FTX. Lineage: Eukaryota; Metazoa; Chordata; Mammalia; Primates; Hominidae. The record is from Ensembl.
CACGCAUGCGCAAGGCUUGAAUGGCGUCGGGGUUGGAGGGUUGGAAGGUCGGGAAGUGAAGGACUCGCAGGCAUAUUUAACAACGCAAAGUUGCUAGGAGUUGGUACCAGCGUUUGGGAGGUAGAGGUGGCGCUCAUGCAUAUUUGAGACAACAUCUGGAUGGUUGGGGAGAACGGUGAUGCCACACUCAAUCAGAAACUAUGCUACUGCUGAAGAGGUAUAUUGAGCCCUGCCUGGUUAACCUCCAGUGAGGUUAUUAGAGAAUUGGGAGAGGCUCAAAUCAGCAUCCUGCACCUAGUUAUCAAACCAUUGUGAAGUCUUGAUUCCUGGAUGGCCAGAAAACUUGUCAUUGGUCAAGAGCAACAUUAAGAUCUGCCUGUUACUCAUACUGAUGCUUCCUGCCCAGCAAGUUCAUCAGAGGGCGAGGAUGAAUUACGGUUGCCAUGAAUGUCCUUGUGAGGCAGUUGGGAAGCCUUGGCUGGAUUGUGAAGGAUAUUUGAAAAGUAUUUUAGAGUCCACCAGAUCAUCCAUGUGAGUGACCAUGCAGCAAAAGAAGGAGGGUCCUCUCAGUGAUUAAGGAUUAUGAAGUAUUAAUUCUUCCACUGAUAUCUCAAAAGGUGAUCUGGACAAAGGAACAGGUAUCUCAGAUAAUCAGCAACUGCUGUGAUGAGAUGCUGCCUUUAAUGCUGCUGCAUGUGGUCAAACCUCCACUCCCAGUCUACCCAGACCAGGACUUGGCUUCCAGGAUCCAGGGGUGUCUGUGUGAAAUGAUCAGCCUGGGCCCCCAAGCAGGUCACUCCCAGCACAGAGAUGUCAUUGAUUGUACCACCGUCAUCAGGCUGUCUUCCGCCCUCAGGGAAAAGUAGCAUGUCUUCCAGCACCAUAUGACAACUGCUCAGCACUUAUUUCUUGUCAUUGCUCCCUUCUGACUGCAGCUCCGUGGGAUCACAGGAGAUUAUGGUGGUGGUGGACUCCCAGGCAUUGCUAUUCUCCUGACACCAGAACACCAUCAUGGUCAUCUCUGAGGCAUCAGUAGUGUUUCUAUAUGCCAACAGUGAACAAUCUGAAAAAGAUAUUAAAAAGUAAUCUCAUUUACAAUAGCCACACAUAAAAUUAAAUACCUAGGAAUUAACCAAAGAAGUUAAAUAUCUCUAUAAUGAAAACUAUAAAACACUGAUGAAUGAAAUUGAUGAGAUCACCAAAAAUGAAAAAAUAUUCCAUGUUCAUGGAUUGGAAGAAUCAAUAUUGUUAAAAUGUCCAUACUACCCAAAGCAAUCUACAGAUUCAGUGCAAUCCCUAUAAAAAUACCAAUGACAUUCUUCACAGAAAUAUGAUCCUAAAAUGUAUACAGAACCACAAAGACCCAGAAUAGCCAAAGCUAUCCUAAGCAAAAAGAACAAAACUGGAGGAAUCACAUUACCUGACUUUAAAUAAUACUACAGAGCUGUUGUAACCAAAACAGCAUGGUACUGGCAUAAAAGCAGACACACAGACCAAUGGAACAGUACAGACAACCCAGAAACAAAUCCACACACAAACAGUGAACCCAUUUGUGACAAAGGUGCCAAGAAUAUGCACUCGGGAAAACACAGUCUUUACUCCACAAGCACAAGCAACCAAAGCAAAAAUGGACAAAUGGGAUUACGUCAAGUUUAAAAGCUUCUACACAGCAAAAGAUACUAUCAACCAAGUGAAUAGACACCCCAAAGAAUGGGAGAAAAUAUUUGCAAACUACCCAUCUGACAAGGGAUUCAUAACCAGGAUUUAUAAGGAGCUCAAAGAACUCUACUGGAGAAAAUCUAGUAAUUCCAGUCAAAAAUGGGCAAAAUAUUUGAAUAGGCAUUUCUCAAGAGAAGACAUACGUAUUGCAAAGAGGCAUAUGAAAAUGUGCUCAACAUCAUUGAUCAUUAGAGAAAUGCAAAUCAAAACUACAAUGAGAUCAUCUCACCCAGUUAAAAUGGCUUAUAUGCAAAAGUCAAGUAAUAACAAAUGCUGGCUAGGAUGUGUACACUGUUUGGUGGGAAUGUAAAUUAGUACAACCUCUAUGGAGAACAGUUUUCAGGUUCCUAAGAAGACAAAAAAUAUUGAACUACUAUAUGAUCCAGAAAUCCCAGUGCUUGGUAUAUACCCAAAAGAAAGAAAA